Molecule: long non-coding RNA, 416 nt
Organism: Zerene cesonia (dogface butterfly)
Lineage: Eukaryota; Metazoa; Arthropoda; Insecta; Lepidoptera; Pieridae
Exons: 2
Source: RefSeq, a predicted model, not a curated record
CAUUCAUUCACGUGUUGACGCUUCCACAAUGAAGGCGACUAUACUUAUAUUUGUGGUGUGCUGCGCGAUCGCACACGCGCGAUAUAUAGAUUCUGAAUCCAGUGCGAUUCUCCCCGUGGACCGUGACAUUAGUGCCAGUGAGCCACUGUCGAGUGCUGUGAGAGUUAGGAGACAAAUAAUAAACAGUGGAAGCAAAGGUUGUGCAAAAGGUUUUAUAAAGUACAAGAUGAUCUGUAUUCGAUUAUAACAUACAAUGAAGAAUGAAAUAUUCACAUCUAGUCAAUUUAUUUAUUAUAACGACGCACGGUGAUCAACGAAAUAAGUAUUAUUAUUUAUUACCUCUUAGUUUCUUAAUUAUAAUUAUAGUAACUUCUUUUAUGCGCAUGUCGAAUAAACGAUUCAUAGGUGAUAAUAUA